This is a non-coding RNA of Pelobates cultripes (western spadefoot toad), 1612 nucleotides long. Lineage: Eukaryota; Metazoa; Chordata; Amphibia; Anura; Pelobatidae. The record is from the annotation of a GenBank genome assembly.
GGAGACAUAAAGGGGUGGGUUGAAAGACUGAUAUCUUGGAUUGGUAGGAUACAUUCGGUAAAAAUGAAUGUUCUCCCCAGAAUUCUAUACUUAUUUCAGGCACUCCCGGUCAGGAUGACUAAAUCUGACCUGGGAGCACUUCAACAGGCCAUAGGAAAAUUCAUAUCGCAGAACAGGAGGCAUAAAGUUUCGUGCAACGUUCUUUAUAGGGCAAAAACGAGGGGUGGCUUGGGCCUACCAAACCUCUACUUCUAUUACCUGGCGGCCCAGCUCACCCAAAUAGCACUUUGGCACACUCCUCCGGACGAAAGGUGGUGGGUGGACCUGGAAUCAUCCUUUAUGGGAUUGGAUUCCCCUCAAUUCUUUAUUUGGGUCCCUAAGGACAAUAGACCAGCUAUACAUACCGAAUGUCCAGCCAUAGUAAACUCCUUGAAAAUAUGGGACGCUACAGCAUCGAAAUACGGCUUAUCCCACAGCUUAUCCCUCUUAACCCCCUACUUAAGGAACACGGCAUUCCCCCCAGGGAUGGAAGCAAGGAAUUUUAGGGGCAUAGAACACACAGGAGUUCAGCGGCUAUGCCAUCUAUUUGAGGGCGACUCAUUUAUAUAAUUCGAGGACUUAAGCGCCAGGGCCCCUUUACGCACCUCAGACCUUUUCCGAUACCUCCAGCUUCGGGACAAUGCCCAAAACUCUGCAAUUAAAAAGUUUGUGCUAACCCCACUUACAUUUUUCGAAAAGAUAUGCAUUAAAGAACAAAUCCCGAGAGGCCUUAUCACCAUUAUGUACGCACACUUAAGCACGCACGCGUUAGAAUAGGGGGAGCUCACGUAUACAGCCCAAUGGGAGGCGGAUCUAAACAAGGAACUGGAGGGUAUUGAAUGGCAGGAGAUCUGGGAGGCCGCCUCGACAUCCUCUAUAUGUGUCUCCAUGCAGGAACAGGCUUAUAAGACUAUAUUCAGGUGGUAUGCUACCCCGGUAAAACUCUGUAGGACGAACAAAAUUUCCACAGAUGUUAGCUGGAGGGGAGGCGGACAGAAGGGAACCUGUAUACACAUGUGGUGGGAGUGUAUGAAAGCACAACAGUACUGGAAACAGGUCGCAGACCUGCUGCGGGAAGUCUUUAAUAGAGAGGUUAAGCCAGAUCCCUGGGUGUUCCUUCUGGCCAGAUCAUUGGAUAACUGGCCUAGAGUGGAGCAGGCUCUGAUACACAAAAUAAAUUUGGCAGCAAGGAGGGCCUUAGCUCAGGUAUGGCUAAAAAGCGAGACCCCCCCACUUAAUAUAGUGAUACAAAAAAUUAAAGAUACAUUCCUCAUGGAUAAAUUAACAGCUCAGGUCAGGGGUACUAUAAAGAAAUUCAAAAAGGUUUGGAGCCCAUGGUUAGACAGCGGUGAUUAAGGAUAGGUGGAAUGGGCUUAUUCCCCCAUAUCCUCCCAUUACUUUCUUAACCUAAGGAUAUCGAUGAAAUUGCCCAGCUCAACCUAGCAUGGCGGGUCUUUGAGGACCCCAAGGGGAGAACUCAGGGUAUAAUCGGCCUAAUAGGUAAUUGAGAUACUCUUUAAAAUAUGCUGCUACAUGGCAACCAAAACGCCUAGACUAGCAAUUACCAACAUAG